RNAcentral lists this long non-coding RNA (1873 nucleotides) under Heterocephalus glaber (naked mole-rat). RNAcentral describes it as "lncRNA (ENSHGLG00100035456.1)". Lineage: Eukaryota; Metazoa; Chordata; Mammalia; Rodentia; Bathyergidae. The record is from RNAcentral.
GGCCAGAUAGGACCCCAGCCUAAACUAGUCAUAAGUUACUGGAGCGCCUAGUACAAGAGAGACGAGUGGGCUUUCGACGGCAUAAUUACAAAGUAUCUUUUAGAACCUGACAGAACCUGACUUUAUGAUCAUGUCCUCAGCUAGAGGCAGAACCUUCGCCACUGCCUGCCUCGGGGCCGCCUCUGGAAAGCCAGGGGAGUGCAUGGGGUUGUCCUGGGAGUGGGAGGUCCGGCCAAUGUUCCAUGGGCAGCCGCCAGGGCUGCGCCACCUUCUGCAGAGGCUGGGCCUGGCCACGGGAAGUCCCAUCCCCGCGACUGAGAACCCCGUGUGAGUCUGCACCUCUGAGCUCUGUGGGAGGCACUGAGGGGAACCCUGCCCACCCUGAGAGCAGCCUGCACCCACCUGGCACCCGGAAGAGACACAGCGACCUCUGUCGCGCCUGAAAAGUGCAGCACCAGGGAGGAUCCAGGGGACACAGUGACACCUCAGACAUCACCCUGGUCCUGCAGCUGCUGACACCUCCACACUUGGGCAAGUCCUGACCAUUCCCAAGUGGCCAGCUCAGAGGGAGCCACUUACAGGGCCUCGAGGCCAUGUCACCCCUCCCCGAACGCUGAUCCAGACUGUCUGAUCAUGUUUCCAAGUGAAACCUCCUCAGUUCUUAACUUUCCCAUGUCAGUAUCUGCUCAAGCCAGAGCCAUCCUGGCACAGGAAAACAACGCAUCUGCAGUCCGAGGCCCACAACCUUGUUUUGUACUCAUCUAUUUCAUCAAAUGAAGUCUGGGCUUAAUGGUGCCGAGUCCCUCUGGAUAACCACAGGAGAGAUAAACAGGAAUCAAGGGAGGAAAUGAGGUGAUAACUCGUGUCACCAGCAGCUUCUGGACCCAAGGCCAAAGUCAAGACUUGGUAACCUAGACCUCGCCCCAUGAUUAUGUCACCAAGUUAUAUAAAUGUAGGUUGAUGUUCACGGUUCAGAUGGCCAUGCAGAAGGUUUCUAGGUAUUGUCAGAACUGUACAGGACAGUUUUAAGGAGAAAUAGAGACUUCUUGUUUGAAGGAUGCCUAACUCAAAGAAACUCGAUGUAAGAAACAUCCAAAGUUAUAUAAUAAAUAUGUUCCCAUUGUGUAAGUGCUGUCAGGGUAGCAUUUUCUGGGGAGACACUGGGAAGAAAGAAGAUGGACGAGAAUCUUGGAUUUAGAGGGUAUUAAGGGCUGGAAGAGGACUCAUGAACCCCUUCAAAUUCCUUAAUAUUUAGAUGAGGAAACUGAGGGUCUGAGAGGUCAGGAUUUACCAAGAACCAGAGCCUGACUGGCUUCAAAAUGCAAACCCUUUCGAGCGCCCGCAUUUACUCCGAUUCAGAGUUCAGAGCAGCAGGAGGGUUGUGGAAGCACACCAGCCUGGGGAGGAAUGCUGGGAACCACACACUCGGUGGUCACACUCACAACUUGUUUCUCCGAAACCGACGGAUCCUAAAAGUUAAUGAGAAAUGCCUAACAUGGGGCUGGACACUCCGUGGACACCUGGCAUCUGCUCCCAGACGCCUCUUAUGAACAUUUCAUAUACACGAAGUCGUAUAAUAUGGAGUCUCCUGGUAUUUUGUGACUGGCAUUUUGGGUAAUGUUUUCAAGGUUCAUCAGUGUUGGGGCAUGUAUCAAACAUUCCUUUUCCUGGCUGAAUACUAUUCCAUUGUGUGGCUAUGCUGCAUUUGGCUUACCUGUUCAUCAAUUUUUGGGUUGUUUCCAUUUUGGACCAUUGUUAAUAAUGUUACUGGCCCCUGUCUUUUAAUACUAAGUAAAUACUACUUACUUUAGCUCCUGCCCGCUCAUCCUCCUAAUCUUGACAACUUGGCCCUAAGUUUUGCAAUGUAGCAACC